RNAcentral lists this ribosomal RNA (249 nucleotides) under uncultured Pseudomonas sp. RNAcentral's name for it is "partial 16S ribosomal RNA". It matches the Rfam family "Bacterial small subunit ribosomal RNA", at positions 1136 to 1382 of the family's 1533-position model. Lineage: Bacteria; Pseudomonadati; Pseudomonadota; Gammaproteobacteria; Pseudomonadales; Pseudomonadaceae. The record is from RNAcentral.
AACUCUAGGGGAGACUGCCGGUGACAAACCGGAGGAAGGUGGGGAUGACGUCAAGUCAUCAUGGCCCUUACGGCCUGGGCUACACACGUGCUACAAUGGUCGGUACAAAGGGUUGCCAAGCCGCGAGGUGGAGCUAAUCCCAUAAAACCGAUCGUAGUCCGGAUCGCAGUCUGCAACUCGACUGCGUGAAGUCGGAAUCGCUAGUAAUCGUGAAUCAGAAUGUCACGGUCGAAUACGUUCCCGGGCCUU